CCAACACUCUUUGCCUUUCGGCUCAGAUCAAGUGUAGUACCUGUUCUUCCUUAGCUUGACCGCUAGGAUGCCCCUUACGGGGGGCCCGAUUCGCUCAAGAUAUUCUUUGAAGUGUCGCGGAAAGCCUGCCAUGCCUUGUGCAGAGGGUUUCUUGCUCUUGUGUCCGAGGCCUUCCACUACCGCCUUGUGAUGCGAAAACAUC
This 202-nucleotide small nuclear RNA is filed under the name Capronia americana. Its description in RNAcentral is "Capronia semiimmersa U2 spliceosomal RNA". It matches the Rfam family "U2 spliceosomal RNA". From Rfam's summary of the family: U2 is a small nuclear RNA (snRNA) component of the spliceosome (involved in pre-mRNA splicing). Complementary binding between U2 snRNA (in an area lying towards the 5' end but 3' to hairpin I) and the branchpoint sequence (BPS) of the intron results the bulging out of an unpaired adenosine, on the BPS, which initiates a nucleophilic attack at the intronic 5' splice site, thus starting the first of two transesterification reactions that mediate splicing. Lineage: Eukaryota; Fungi; Ascomycota; Eurotiomycetes; Chaetothyriales; Herpotrichiellaceae. The record is from Rfam by way of RNAcentral.